UGCAAGUCGAGCGAACAGAUAAGGAGCUUGCUCCUUUGACGUUAGCGGCGGACGGGUGAGUAACACGUGGGCAACCUACCCUAUAGUUUGGGAUAACUCCGGGAAACCGGGGCUAAUACCGAAUAACUUGUUGUCUCUCAUGAGACAAUUCUAAAAGACGGUUUCGGCUGUCGCUAUAGGAUGGGCCCGCGGCGCAUUAGCUAGUUGGUGAGGUAACGGCUCACCAAGGCGACGAUGCGUAGCCGACCUGAGAGGGUGAUCGGCCACACUGGGACUGAGACACGGCCCAGACUCCUACGGGAGGCAGCAGUAGGGAAUCUUCCACAAUGGGCGAAAGCCUGAUGGAGCAACGCCGCGUGAGUGAAGAAGGAUUUCGGUUCGUAAAACUCUGUUGUAAGGGAAGAACAAGUACAGUAGUAACUGGCUGUACCUUGACGGUACCUUAUUAGAAAGCCACGGCUAACUACGUGCCAGCAGCCGCGGUAAUACGUAGGUGGCAAGCGUUGUCCGGAAUUAUUGGGCGUAAAGCGCGCGCAGGUGGUUUCUUAAGUCUGAUGUGAAAGCCCACGGCUCAACCGUGGAGGGUCAUUGGAAACUGGGAGACUUGAGUGCAGAAGAGGAUAGUGGAAUUCCAAGUGUAGCGGUGAAAUGCGUAGAGAUUUGGAGGAACACCAGUGGCGAAGGCGACUAUCUGGUCUGUAACUGACACUGAGGCGCGAAAGCGUGGGGA
Molecule: ribosomal RNA, 730 nt
Filed under: Lysinibacillus fusiformis
Lineage: Bacteria; Bacillati; Bacillota; Bacilli; Caryophanales; Bacillaceae
Description: bacterial SSU rRNA
Rfam family: Bacterial small subunit ribosomal RNA
Source: RNAcentral